CGCUCACUCUGUGUGCUCAUACGUCUCCAUCACACUCUAUGUGCUCACACGUCUCCAUCAUGUUCACUUUGUGUGCUCACACGUCUCCAUCACACUCACUCUGCUCUCAUGUCUCCGUCACACUCACUCUGUGUGCUCACACGUCUCCAUCACGCUCAGUCUAUGUGCUCACACGUCUCCAUCACGCUCACUCUGCUCACAUGUGUCCAUCACGCUCACUCUGCUCUCAUGUCUCCAUCACAUUUACUCUGUGUGCUCACACGUCUCCAUCACGCUUAGUCUAUGUGCUCACAUGUCUCCAUCAUGUUCACUCUGUGUGCUCACAGCACAUCUCCAUUAUGUACACUCUGUGUGCUCACACGUCUCCGUCAUACUCACUCUGAUCACAUGUCUCCCUCAUACUCGCUCUGUGUGCUCACAUGUCUCCA
Molecule: long non-coding RNA, 428 nt
Filed under: Oryctolagus cuniculus (rabbit)
Lineage: Eukaryota; Metazoa; Chordata; Mammalia; Lagomorpha; Leporidae
Description: lncRNA (ENSOCUG00000030160.1)
Source: RNAcentral